RNAcentral lists this ribosomal RNA (463 nucleotides) under uncultured bacterium. RNAcentral describes it as "bacterial SSU rRNA". It matches the Rfam family "Bacterial small subunit ribosomal RNA", at positions 337 to 797 of the family's 1533-position model. The record is from RNAcentral.
UCCUACGGGGGGCAGCAGUGAGGAAUAUUGGACAAUGGGCGCAAGCCUGAUCCAGCCAUGCCGCGUGCAGGAUGACGGUCCUAUGGAUUGUAAACUGCUUUUGUACAGGAAGAAACACUCCCUCGUGAGGGAGCUUGACGGUACUGUAAGAAUAAGGAUCGGCUAACUCCGUGCCAGCAGCCGCGGUAAUACGGAGGAUCCAAGCGUUAUCCGGAAUCAUUGGGUUUAAAGGGUCCGUAGGCGGGCUAAUAAGUCAGUGGUGAAAUCUCCCGGCUCAACCGGGAAAUGGCCAUUGAUACUGUUAGUCUUGAAUUAUUAGGAAGUAACUAGAAUAUGUAGUGUAGCGGUGAAAUGCUUAGAGAUUACAUGGAAUACCAAUUGCGAAGGCAGGUUACUACUAAUGGAUUGACGCUGAUGGACGAAAGCGUGGGUAGCGAACAGGAUUAGAUACCCGCGUAGUCCG